Molecule: long non-coding RNA, 1155 nt
Organism: Anopheles funestus (African malaria mosquito)
Lineage: Eukaryota; Metazoa; Arthropoda; Insecta; Diptera; Culicidae
Exons: 3
Source: RefSeq, a predicted model, not a curated record
GUCGUAACAAGGUUUCCGUAGGUGAACCUGCGGAAGGAUCAUUACUGAUGAUCGUCCGCGAGUGACCAACCAUGGGCUGCCUUCGGUGUAGCUCGGUCGCUCGCUUGCUAUGUGUCAGAAUUUGUUGAAAGCCAACUCGUUCGUUGUACACUUUGAUGGGUGACCAUCACUGUGUCUCCGUGCCGAGCUAGAUCUCCCCUAGCCGUAAGGCACUUGAACGCCCCUUCGACGACGAGUUGCAUGUGUGUGGUAUGUGUCAGAAUCUGGUGAAGCUUUCUGCAUGUGAUGUGCCUUGUGUGGAUCCGUGGCCAUUGCAUUGUGUCUGGUGCUUAGAUACCCAGACACUUAGAACGCUUGCGCGGAAAGCAAACUCGAUCGUUGUACACUUUGAUGGGUGACCAUCACUGUGUCUCCGUGCCGUGCUAGAUCCCCCCUAGCCGUAAGGCACUUUGAACGCCCCUUCGACGACGAGUUACAAGAGUGUGGUAUGUGUCAGAAUCUGGUGAAGCUUUCUGCAUGUGAUGUGCCUUGUGUGGAUCCGUGGCCAUUGCAUUGUGUCUGGUGUGUAGGUACCCAGACACUUAAGCAAACUCGAUCGUUGUACACUUUGAUGGGCGAGCAUCACUGUGUAUCCGUGCCGUGUAAGAGCUCCCCUGGCCAUCAGGCACUUGAAAGGUCCUUCGACGACGAGUUACAAUAGUGGUGUGUUAGAUACGUCAGAUUACGGUGUCUACUAGUGUGCAAUACGUAUCCGGCUACGGCACGGAACGAACGGGAACUGUGGUGCAGACAAACAAGAGUUAAGCCUAUUAGUCAUUAACUCUAAGGACGGGGCCAUGGGGCGGUACACAAAGGAUACGGAUGAGCGAGUAUGCAGGCCCAAUACUCAAUAGCUCGAUCCGAUCCAAGCACAUGAGUUGACUGCGGCGUCAGGUUAACCAAUGUGCUAGAUUCUAUUUGGCCAGUAGAAUCUUGUGUCUUACGCGAUUUGAUACCAAGACACCAGAACGAAAGUUAGUUGAAGAGUUAUUAAACUCUUAUGAAGUAUGGUUGUGCAAUCACAACUUAUGACUUUAACCUAUAAAGUGGAUAUGGACUUGCAAUUAUAACAUGGAAUCUCUACACACCCCAUGAGCUCGAUCCAAUCCACGCACA